CAGUCGCCACGGGAAUACGUAGGGUGCAAGCGUUAAUCGGAAUUACUGGGCUUAAAGCGUGCGCAGGCGGUUUGUUAAGACAGAUGUGAAAUCCCCGGGCUCAACCUGGGAACUGCAUUUGUGACUGGCAGGCUAGAGUAUGGCAGAGGGGGGUGGAAUUCCGCGUGUAGCAGUGAAAUGCGUAGAUAUGCGGAGGAACACCGAUGGCGAAGGCAGCCCCCUGGGCCAAUACUGACGCUCAUGCACGAAAGCGUGGGGAGCAAACAGGAUUAGAGACCCCAGUAGUCCCUGUCUCUUAUAC
RNAcentral lists this ribosomal RNA (301 nucleotides) under uncultured bacterium. RNAcentral's name for it is "partial 16S ribosomal RNA". It matches the Rfam family "Bacterial small subunit ribosomal RNA", at positions 509 to 807 of the family's 1533-position model. The record is from RNAcentral.